Long non-coding RNA from Cornus florida, 4163 nucleotides. RefSeq lists it as uncharacterized. The record is from RefSeq and is a predicted model, not a curated record. The transcript is spliced from 2 exons. Lineage: Eukaryota; Viridiplantae; Streptophyta; Magnoliopsida; Cornales; Cornaceae.
UUCAUUUGAAGCUUUCCACUAGAAAGAUUGUAGAAUUUAAAUAACUAGUUAUUCUUUUGCAAAGAGUAGAGCGGUUGACCUCUAUACUACUUGAUAUUCGCAGAAUUAACAUAAACAUACUUGCUUCCUGUUAUAGAACCCAAUAUGUGAGCAAAAUCGGGAUACAAGUCAAUUCCAUCUCUUUACCAAAAGAAGCAGGUAGCCAAAACCAGUACUGAAAAAACAACAAUAAUAAUUAAGGUUUGGUCAUAUUAGUUCUAUAUGUUGGCUUUGUUCAAAGUGUUGGACCUCUACUUAUUGUCAUUGGGGGUAUGUCUUCAAUAUUUUCUCUUGAGGAUAGUACCAAGUUUGAAUCAAAAGAAGGAGAUCGUUUAAUAUCAUAACAGCAAGAAAAUGCUUUACAAGCUUUUAAUACAAAAUUAUCCAGUUGUUUAACAUCACAACAGCAAGAAAACGCUUUUCAAGCUUUUAAUAAAAAAUAAUCCUGAAUUAUGUGACAGUGGCACCUUUGAAAUUAAAUAGCACCUUGGUCCUCUGUUACAAAAUGAUACAAUUCAAAUGUGUCACAUCACAGAUUCUGUUUGGCAUUACUCAUCUCAAUAUCAUUCCUAUGAAUUGGAUCACUUGGUGAACCAUCUCUAGCUUUUACUAAAAUUCAUCAAAAAAAUCACAAUAAUCAGAAGAAUAACUAUUAUAGCUUUCUGUGAUCUUAUGAAUUUUUUAUGCAGUGUAAAGGAAUUGUUCGACAUUUAGUAUACUACUGCGGCCUGACUUCUUGUAAAGAAUUAUCAUAUAAGGAUACUUAAAAGGCAUGUUAUCAGUGGCAGGUUGGCAGCAGAAAAUUUUAUCGACAAGGUUGGCUGUUUUUCACAAAGUUAUGUUGGACAGUGUGUGGAAGAAUGUAUUGUCCUCAGCUUCAUUUUGUGACCACCACCACAUUAUGCAGUUUGUUGCAAGUGCAAGCAAAAAAAAACUCGCCGUCACAUUUCAAAGGAAGAGAAUAUGUUACAGAAAUCAUAUCAUUUUUACAGCAUAUCCCCAUCAGAUGACCUGGAAAGUGGUAAGUCCGUAAGAAAAGGGUGUUGCAACAAGUCAUUAGAACUGGGAAGAUUACAACCAUGGUUAUAUAUUCAAAUCCAAUUGAGAAGGAAAGAAAACCACUUGUCUUAAGCUCUACUCCAAGGUUAGUUAUUAGUUCUAUAUUUAGUCAACUCACUUCUCAUAUUUAUUUCUCUGUGUGGUGGAUGAUCACCAAAUGAAUUUAGAAAAUGCAGUCAGUUGUAGUAGUUCACUUAACAGUUACCGAAGGGACACUCAGUUGUCAAGUUGUUGUCAAACUAUGACUUGAAUUAAAUAAUAUAUAUAUUAAUCAACCAUAAAUUCCCAUAAAAUGGGUGGAUGAUUAUUUAAAAUCAAAUUACAUAAGGAAAGAUAGAGAUGUGAUGAGAGAGAAAACACAGUUAUCAUGCUGAUGCUGUUGAUGCAUGUGUUCUGCAAAGUAAAAAAACUGAUGAAAGAACUUAACUCUAGGGGGUAAAUUUUAGGUAAAUUGCUCUUGGAGAUAGUAUUAGGUGACCAAUAUAAGGAAAUCUCUAAGCUGUGUUAAUCAUAUAUACCUUAGGUAAAGUUAUAGUUGAAUUGUACAUGAAAACUAUAUUUUUUUAAAGAAAAUACAGAAUAUCGUGCCAGAAAAGAGAGAGCGGUAUUUGGCAAAAUAAUAAUAAUAAUAAUGAAAGAGUGCCGACAGUGAGUUUCUGCCUUUGUUCAUUGAAUUCACUAAAUGACUCGUGCCCUUAUCCAUCAAACAAAUUCACCAUCAUUAUUUAGAAUAUCCAAUAAAUGAGAAUCCGAGCUAAUUGUAAGACACCUGUCUUAGUUAUUUGGCAAAUAGCCAAAUAGGCAUCCAUAUUUUCCAUGGCCCACAAAAUGAUUGUGAGCUGCCAAUACGGUUGGGUGCCCUCUCAAACAUUGAGCUUCUUUUCUUUUCUUUUUUUUUUAUUUCAGUGACCCUAAUCAUUUUCAGGAUUUUCCUUUUCUACAGUGUUUCCACUGUUCCAUGUCUCCAUUAUAACAAAUGGGGUUCUCAUGUUCUAUUCCUCUUACACCAACAGGCUUGACAUGAAUGGCAGGGCAUACAGUGGGCCACAAUUGUGACAUAUAUAUAGCAACUAUUUGGAUGAUAUAUAUAUGAUGGAAACCAUUGUCCAUUACUCGUUAUUUUGAGUGAUUUAAUAAGUUUCAUGCAAUGUAUUAUUUAUUAAUAUAUUUUAUUUUUCCUUUGGUCAAUUGUUAAAUUGAACUCGUUUUGAAGUUUCUAAUCUGAGUCAUUUUGUUUAUGAAGGACAUUAUAUUAGUAUAUCUAAAGCUUAGAUAUCAAAAAUUCCUCCCAGAAGAGGCUUUGUUGCAUUGAAUACCAUCUUGAUUAAGUGGUUCUUGAUUGAUCUAAUGAAGGGCUAUGAUUAAGUAGAUCGCAAGGGGCUAAUCUAGGGUUAACAAAUCCGAAGGAAAAAACGCACGAGAGUCAAUUUGAGACCGACCAAAAGUAUUGCUAGUGUCCUCUUUCGGUGCACCAAACCACAGAAAACUAUGCCUUUUUCCAAGAAAGCAUGUGCCUGGAUGGCCACCCCAAGGAAACUUGGCACUGGUUUGAUUAAAGGAGUGGAUUCUCCCACAUUGAGCCCAUGUGGUCUUUUAUGAUUGGGUUGUUUGCUUCACUUAUUUCCACAAGUGGAGAGACAACUGCCUUAAUAAAUAGUGAUGGCUAUUAUAAAAAUCACUAUAGUAUUUUGUUGGGGGCCAUUUUGAAAGAUGGGUGUAAUUAAUUUCAUAAAUUUUGUAUUUUUAAUUUUUACUGAACCGUUUUUUUGUUGUUUUUCUGGUCAAACUGACAUGGUAGUUGUAAAUCCACAAUGAAAUCAUCUAACAAACCAGCAAUGACAGCUGUGGUGAUUCUGACACAAAUCAACAAGAACACUUAAUUACAUCAAUCAAUAUGGCUUUGAUAAGGUGUCAUCUUCAAUUUAAUCCCCAAUUAACUUCAUCCUUCAAUUUUGCCAGCACUACUUAAAACGUUUCAAUGUAACUGUAUUACUUUAGUGUGACAGUUAUAUAUAUAUAUAUAAUUAUAUAUCUAUCUAUCAUAGUGUCAUUAGAGCAGUAACUAGUAAGUGGCAAGUCAAAUUGAAAUGGGAAGAAAUAGGAGGAGGAGGAGGAGGUUGGAUAUGGAACAGUGAGUCAAACACUGUCCGUCCUUUAUUUGUGUCAGAAAGAAAGAAAGAAAGAAAAGACUCAGACAGAGCUCGGCCAGCCUGUUCCCCAUCUCUCCCUCCCUUUCUCUCUCUAUUAUCCAUUAACGGACAAAAUUCCUUUGCAGUUAUCUGUCAAUUCCCAAACCUGCCCUCCAUGUGGGUCCUCGCCACGUGGCACUCCAUAUUCACACAUUAGUAUUCAGUAUUCUCCCCACGCAACAAAUAAAUAAUCAAACAGUACACUGCAUCAUAGCCACUCAUUCUGAAGUAGUGAAGACGAAUAAAUCACAUACACAUGCAUCAUAGCCACUCAUUCUGAAGUAGUGAACACGGUAGAUGUAUAUUAUGGGUAGGGUUGCAAAGUUACUCGUAAUCUGUACAUAUUCUGGUGCAGAAUCGAUUCAUUUACCAUCCUAAUUUUGUAAGUUCGAAUUCAAUUCACGUGGAUUCAUUUAUAGAUAUAACCUUAAGUUCGAAUUCAGUUCACCUAGAUUCAUUUUUAGAUAUAGCCCUAAGUUCAUAAGCUCGAUCUCAACUUAACUCUGUUCAUUUAUAAUCAUGCGGAUCAAAAUGGAAAGAGUUACAAUAACUAGAAUUAAAGAAAGAAGCAUAGCCCUAGUGUAAAGAGUAAUUUAUUCUGAAACAUAAAAUAUGAGAAAAGAAUAAAAUAAAAACAUGUUCAUUCUCAAUUACUUCAUGAAACUCUAACCCGAAAACAAUGCGGGUUUGGAUCUUGUCGGAUAAAACAUGUCGUCCAAGCAUUUCUAUAACUAUACAUUUCUUCAUCCAAUAAAAUACUUGAUCGACACAUUUUACAGCAAUACUGUAUCCUUACCCAAACAAUUCAAACCCCUUUUUCUCCUAAAAAUCAUUUUACAAUUAAGAAAGAAAAACAAAAAAAAAAAACAAAAUAAA